GGACACAUAAUAUAUGCUAAAAAAAAGGUGUUUUAAUAGCUUAUUAAUCUAUACAAUAUAUAACUUCCCCUUUAAACAAUACCAUUUACUUCUGCUCCAUAUCUUCCCAGAGUUGCUUCAUCUUCUACUUGGUGGACUACAAGCCCCUCAGGUUUAAAUGGUGGUACGUGUAGCCAGACUGGGCCUUUGCACUGGGCUGGGCCAUGGCCCUCUCCUCCAACCUCCUGGUGCCACUGUGAUCGAUUGGCAGGAUCUAUGUUGGCACAGGCCGCCUCAGGCAGAUUUAGGAUACUACUGAGGAGAUUACCAUUGUGGGAGCCAGGAGGAGGAAAGCCAAGAGGACAAUUCAGACCCAGAGCUGAGGUGGCUCCAAAAAACCCAGCAACUCAAGGACAAGAAAAUGAGACGACAGAAGCUGUAUUCAAAUGUGAUCCGUGAGCAGAACAAGAAGAUAAGUAGGAUUACCUUUCUGCCGGACGCCAAGAACCCAUUGGGCAGUGACAACAAGGACAACAUGGUUCCCAGAAGGGAUUCUCUCUCUGAUUCUCUCUCUGUCUCUCUCUCUGUCUCUCUCUCUGAUUCUGUCUGUCUGUCUGUCUGUCUGUCUGUCUGUCUGUCUGUCUGUCUGUCUGUCUGUCUGUCUGUCUGUCUGUCUGUCUGUCUGUCUGUCUGUCUGUCUGUCUGUCUGUCUGUCUGUCUGUCUGUCUGUCUGUCUGUCCCUCUCUCUCUGAUUCUCUCUCGGUCUCUCUCUGUUACCUUCCUUCUGGCAGAUAGACAGAGACAGAGAGAGAAUUAGAGAGACUCAGAGAGAGAGAGAGAGUGGGGGUGAGAGAGAAAAUGACUUAGAGGUGAAGAGACAGAGACAAAAAGAGAGAGAGAGAGAAAGAAAGAAAAAACAAAGAGAAAGAGAGAGUACAUUGCUUCAUAACAAGUGCAUCCAUCUCAUCCUGGUUUCCUCAGUCAAUUUGUCCAUCAUCGUCAUCUGUCAGCUUGAGUGUAUUGCAACUCCAGUCCCCACUUUUAGUUAUUUACAGGACCAGUCAAAAGUUUGGACACACCUGCUCAUUCAAGGAUUUUUCUUUAUUUUUAUUAUUUUCUACAUUAUAGAAUAAUAGUGAAGACAUCAAAACUAUGAAAUAACACAUAUGGAAUCAUGUAGUAACCCCCAAAAAAUGUACUCUUAAUGAUCGGCCCCCUUUUUUAAAUGUUCACCUAAAAUGAUGUACCCAAAUCUAACUGCCUGUAGCUCAGGACCUGAAGCAAGGAUAUACAUAUUCUUGAUACCAUUUGAAAGGAAACACAUUGAAGUUUGUGGAAAUGUGAAAUGAAUGUAGGAGAAUAUAACACAUUAGAUAUCGUAAAAGAUAAUACAAACAAAAAAACAUGCCUUUUCAACAACAAAAAUCAUCUUUGAAAUGCAAGAGAAAGGCCAUACAUUCAGAUAGGAUUUUAGGUGUAAUUUAUGUGUUGUCCACAAGAUGGCAGCAGUGUCUGUGCAAAGUGUCAUACAAAUCCAGUGAAGAAUUACAACACUACACAACAUUUUGUAUCAAGUCUGCCAGGAGUUUGCCCAAAUGUGCCAAAUUGGUGAAUUAAUACAUUUUCAAGUACAAAAAAAUAUAAAAAAUGUAACUAGGCAUGUCAGUUAAGAACGAAUUAUUAUUUACAAUGACGGCCUACCCCGGCCAAACCCUAACCGGGAUGAUGCUGGGCCAAUUGUGUACCGCCCUAUGGGACUCCCAAUCAGGACUUGUUGUGAUACAGCCUGGAAUCAAACCAGAGUCUGUAGUGACGCCUCUAGCACUGAGAUGCAUUACCUUAGACCGCUGUGCCUCUUGGGAGCCCAAUUAUAGAGAACAUACAAAAAUGCUAUGGUAAUAUAAAAUUUACGUUUACACCUCCAGAAAUGUCAUACAUGAAGGGUCAUUAGCUUUCCUACAGAAAAUACACUAACCUACACACAUCUAGAUGGCGGGGGCGGGUGGAGCCAGCAGUGGGGUCAAACUGUAGAACCCAGUUCCAACAUUUGAAAAUAAUUUUAUUUAUUUUUUCAAACAAAACUAUGCUACAUUUUAUCUCUGGGACCUCAGGAUGACAAAUCAGAGCAAGAUUACUGAAUGUAAGUACAUUAUUUACCUUCAGAGGUAAAUGUAGCAAACCAGUUGCUGUGAUAAAAGUGCUUUGUUGUUGUGCACUCAAACAAUUGCAUGGUAUUUUUUUGUUGUAAUAGCUAUUGUAAAUUGGACACUGCAGUUAGAUUAACAACAAUUUAAGCUUUUAUUUUUUAUUUUACUAGGCAAGUUAGUUAAGAACAAAUUUGUAUUUAUAAUGACAACCUACCCCGGUCAAACCCUAACCCGGACGAUGCUGGGCCAAUUGUGAUUCCAGUUGUGGUACAGCCUGGAAUUUAACCAGGGUCUGUAGUGACACCUCUAGCACUGAGAUGCAGUGCCUUAGACCGCUGCGCCCCUCGGGAGAUUUCUGCCCAUAUAAGUUAUGUCUAUGUCCUGGAAUUGGCUGUUGGUUACAAUGUCAUUCUAGUGACAUUAUCGCAUAUUGAGCAACAACCAUCCCCUAUUAGGGACACCGAUCCCUUAGAGGUUAAACAAAUCAAAAUAUAUUUUAUAUUUGAGAUUCUUCAAAGUAGCCACCCUUUGCCUUGAUGAGAGCUUUGCAUGCUCUUGGCAUUCUCUCAACCAGCUUCAUGAGUAAUGCUUUUCCAACAGUCUUGAAGGAGUUCCCACAUAUGCUGAGCACUUGUUAGCUGCUUUUCCUUCAUUCUGCGGUCCAACUCAUCCCAAACCAUCUCAAUUGGGUUGAGGUCGGGUGAUUGUGGAGGCCAGGUGAUCUGAUGCAGCACUCCAUCACUCUCCUUGGUCAAAUAGCCCUUACACAGCCUGGCGGUGUUUUUGGGUCAGUGUCCUGUUGAAAAACAAAUUGUAGUCCCACUAAGCGCAAACCAGAUGGGAUGGCGUAUCGCUGCAGAAUGCUGUGGUAGCUAUGCUGGUUAAGUGUGCCUUGAAAUCUAAAUAAAUCACUGACAAUGUCACCAGCAAAGCACCCCCACACCAUAACACCUCCUCCUCCAUGCUUCAAGGUGGGAACCACUCAUGUGGAGAUCAUCCGUUCACAAAUAGUCUCACAAAGACGCAGCGGUUGGAACCAAAAAUCUCAAAUUUGGACUCAUCAGACCAAGGGAUAGAGUUCCACCAGUCUAAUGCCAAUUGUUUGUGUUUCUUGGCCCAAGCAAGUCACUUCUUGGGGCAGCAGGUAGCCUAGUGUUUAGAGUGUUGGGUCAGUAACCAAAAGGUUGCUGGAUCAAAUCCCUGAGAUGACAAGGUAAAAGUCUGAACAAGGCAGUUAACCCACUGUUCUCCCGUAGGCUGUCAUUGUAAAUAAGAAUUUGUUCUUAACUGACUUGCCUAGUUAAACAAAAAAUAUAUAUUCUUAUUGGUCCUUUAGUAGUGGUUUCUUUGCAGCAAUUUGACCAUGAAGGCCUGAUUCAUUCAGUAUCCUCUGAACAGUUGAUGUUGUGAUGUGUAUGUUACUUGAACUCUGUGAAGCAUUUAUUUGGGCUGCAAUCUGAGGUGAAGUUAACUCUAACUGUCACGUCCUGACCAGUAAAGGGGCUGUUUGUUAUUGUAGUUUGGUCAGGGCAUGGCAGGGGGUGUUUGUUUAGGGUGUUUCGGGGUUGUUUGGGUUAUGUUCUAUGUUAGUGUAUUUCUAUGUUAUUUCUAGUUGGUUUAUUUCUAUGUGGUGUUUAUUGGGUUGACCUUCAAUUGGAGGCAGCUGCUUCUCAUUGCCUCUGAUUGAAGGUCCUAUUUAUAGGGGUGUUUGUUCUAUGGGGUUGUGGGUAGUUAUUUCCUGCUUUAGUGUUUGUUGCACCUGACGGGACUGUUUGGAGUCGUUUGUUUUGUAUACGUGUUUAUUUUGUUUUUCCUUCUUCAAAUAAAAAGAAGAUGAGUAUACAUUUUCCCGCUGCGUUUUGGUCCACUCCUUACGACAAUCAUGACAGAACUACCCACCACCAACGGACCAAGCAGCGGAGGAAGGAGCAGCAGCAGAGCUAUAAGGAAUCAUGGACAUGGGAGCAGAUAAUAGCGGGAGAAAGACCAUGGAGGAAGGCUGGAGAGGACCGGGAAAGUUAUGUGGGUACACGACUGGCAAGGAAGCCUGAAAGGCAGCCCCAAUAAUUUUUUUGGGGGGGGCACACGGGAAGAUUAGCUAGGUCAGGCAAUAGACCUGAGCCAACUUCCCGUGCUUAUUAUGGGGAGCAACGGAUCAUGAGAGCACCGGUGUAUGCGGAAGUGCGCACGAUCUCGCCCAUGCGCACGCACAGUCCGGUGCGAGCGAUCCCAGCUCCUCGCAAGUGCCGUGCAAGAGUGGGCAUCCAGCCGGGUAGGAGUAUGCCUGCACAGCACAUCUGGCCACCAGUGCGCCUCCUAGGCCCAGGCUACCCUACGCCUGCUCUACGCACGGCAGCCAUCAGGCCUCUGCACAGCCCAGUUCGCCCUGUGCCAGCACUCCGCUCGUGCAGGGCUGCUGUUACCAUCCAGCCAGGGCGGGCCGGUGCCUACUCAUGACCCAGUGUAUCCAGUUCCCGCUCCUCGCACUAGCCUUGAGGUGCGUGUUUCCAGUCUGGCGCCUCCAAAGCCAGCACCAGGCCUCCAGUGCGUCAGCCCAGUCCAGUGCGUCCUGCUCAUGCUCCUCGCACAUGCCCUGUGGUGCGUGUCCCUAGUCUGGCGCCUCCAAAGCCAGCCCUACGCAUCAGGCCUUCAGUGCGCAGUCCUCGUCCAGAGCUUCCGGCGACAGUGCCCCAUCUAGAGUCGGACCUCCAGUCCGGAGCUCCCCAGAGUCGGACCUCCAGUCCGGAGCUCCCCAGAGUCGGCCCUCCAGUCCGGAGCUCCCCAGCGACGCGCAUCAGCCCAGAGACUUUGGGAGGGGUAAAUAAUAAUAAGCAGUUAGCGGGGGUGGACAGGUUAGGUUGGGGAGUAAGGCCGGAGCCUGAGCCACCUCCGUAGUUGUGGGGGGGGGCUGUUUGUUAUUGUAGUUUGGUCAGGGCGUGUUUGUUUAGGGUGUUUCGGGGUUGUUUGGGUUAUGUUCUAUGUUAGUGUAUUUCUAUGUUAUUUGUAGUUGGUCUAUUUCUGUGGUGUUUAUUGGGUUGACCUUCAAUUGGAGGCAGCUGCUUCUCGUUGUCUCUGAAGGUCCGAUUUAUAGGGGUGUUUGUUCUAUGGGGUUGUGGGUAGUUAUUUCCUGCUUUAGUGUUUGUUGCACCUGACGGGACUGUUUGGAGUCUUGUUUUGUAUACGUGUUUAUUUUGUUUUUCCUUCAAAUAAAAAGAUGAGUAUACAUUUUCCCGCUGCGUUUUGGUCCACUCCUUACGACGGCCGUGACAUUAACGAACUUAUCCUUUGCAGCAGAGGUAACUCUGGGUCUUCCUUUCCUGUGGCAGUCCUCAUGAAAGCCAGUGUCAUCAUAGCGCUUGAUGGUUUUUGCGACUGCACUUGAAGAACUUUCAAAGUUCUUGAAAUGUUCCGUAUUAACUGACCUUUGUCUUAAGUAAUGAUGGACUGUCGUUUCUCUUUGCUUAUUUGAAGUGUUCUUGCUAUAAUAUGGACUUAGUAUUUUACCAAAUAGGGCUAUCUUCUGUAUACCAUCCGUACCUUGUCACAACACAACUGAUUGGCUCAAACGCUUCAAUUAAGAAGGAAAUAAAUCCCACAAAUUAACAAGGCACACCUGUUAAUUGGAAUGCAUUCCAGGGAACUACCACAUGAAGCUGGUUGAGAGAAUGCCAAGAGUGUGCAAAGCUGUCAAGGCAACGGGUGGCUACUUUGAAUAAUAUAAAAUAUAUUUUGAUUUGUUUAACAUGAUUCCAUAUGUGUUAUUUCAUAGUUUUGAUGUCUUCACUAUUAUUCUACAAGAUAAAUAAACCCUGGAAUGAGUAGGUGUGUCCAAACUUUUGACUGGUACCUAUAACAAACGAAUCCCCAUGCACUGAGAUUGCGAGUCUGAGAACGAUUAAGGACACGUCAACAUUCUGUCACAAAGUUGAAUCGCCAAGUUCACUCAGCUAUAUGAAAGCCUAGUUGUUUUUCAGCUCUUGCAGGUGUACCUUUCCCUCCCCCUCCAUCUCCAAACUAUUCUUCUGUAAAACUUUACCUGAAGCCUACAGGUAUAAUGCUUUAUUACAUGUUAUAAGCAUGAGCUUUUAUGUCAUCUUAAGUCUUUAUAGCAAAUGUUCAAUUGACUCAAGGUGGCUGUUAUUUAGUCAAGAGGCAUGAUAUAGGAAAUUACAAGAGCAUCAUACAGUCUUACAAUUAAUUAUAAUGGUACUGUACUGCAUCGUCAUUAUACCUGUCAGUGAUAAAUAAAAUGUUACCUUUAUUUCCAUUGUGUUUCAGGCCCUGGAGUAUGCCAGGUGCAUCCUGCGGCCCAAGGUGGCGCCCCUGCCUCAGCAGACCAAGACCAGACAGCCAGAGUGGGCCCAGGGGCCACACUCGCCUCCUGGAGGGCUUCGACAUAUCCCAGCUGGCCACACUGGAGGCCCUGAGGAAACGGCGAGAGCAGGAGAAACAGACCGUGGCCCACUUCAAGGUGGUGCACACCAUCUGACACUACAUCGGCCCAGUUACUUUAUAACACACAGGAGUCACGCAACAACAGGUUUCCCCUUACAGCUGACACGGCCAUUAAACUUUUGGGGAAAGGCAGUAUAUGGACUAUAUAGACAAUAUGGAGGAAUAAGCAGGGAAAUAUUGCAGCAAUCGUUCAUUCAUGCUUGUGUCAACUGCAAUUUGGCGUGUUACAGAGUAGCCUGUCUGUAUGUGGUUGUUGACAUAAGCAUUUACUGUAUGAAUGCAUUUUUACGACCAAUGAAGUUGUAGCUUGCGCGUUUGUUCAUAUGAUUUGAUGUACUUAAACCAUAGGUAAACAUGGUACUUAUACCAUACCGUAAUUUAUACUAUAGGCAAACAUGGUACUGUAAUCCCAAACCAAGUGUUGUUGUUUUUUGCUCAAAGUUGAUAAGGUAUUGUUUGAAUAAUAUGCAAAUGUUUGUACACAUUUCAGAUAAAUAAUGCUCUGGCUAUUGAUAAUGAUUCCACAAUUCCUUGAAUAUUCCUCUGCUAAUAUUCCUUACAAUUGCUCAUGAGUCAUGACUUGAGUGCACAUGACCUGAAAAUGUUUAAUACAGCUGCUCAAGUCAAUUCAGGCAUAACACAUAUGGUUUGUGGUUAUACAAUAUUACACAUACAGUGUUAAUAGUACAAUACUAUAUACAAUCUGAGAGAACAUGUAAACCUUCUAAAGCUUUGUGUAGGUUGCUUGAUGACAAGGAAUCGGCAACUGAGUACAAAGACCAUGGCUAGACCAUUGGUAGAGAUCUAAUGGUCAACUUGUUGUCAUAAUGACAAAGGACACUUAUGGAAACACUAAAAAACAUAGUGCGCUCCGCCUUUUCUCUUUUUUUUAUAGUUUUGAUAGCACUCGACAUUGAAACAUCCUUUGUAAAUUCAACAAUACAUCAUUAAAUCGGAAAGCUUUUGGUACUGCGGGCUAUAUUGUCUCAUUUUUGGGGGGUACUAGUCGGUAAUUCACACGUUGGCAUUUUAUCCACAUUUCCAAUUUGCCCCCUUUCACCCUCUCACGCACCUGGUUGCUGCUGUUAAUCUGAAAUAAUCUGCUCUUUUUGUUCCGUGCCUGAUUAUUUUCUCCCUGUAUCCCCCCCGUCUCUACUUCCAGAUACAAAUGAGUCAAACAAAGAUGACCCUUUGAAGCCCACCUGAUUAGGGCUCCGUAAACUAGUGAUAAUUUUCCCACCAAUAAAACAAAUCUCAAGCACCCCCCAUUUCUUUAAUAGAGCCGUCAGAUCAUUAUAAAAGAGCUAUUUACUCCUAUGUAAUAUUUUAAUUUGAUUAUAGUCUCUAUUUAACCCAUCAUGGCGUCUUUGAUGCACUGUGUUUUUAGUGUUUAAGCCUCAGAUGCGUGGGGGUAAUAAUAAAUACCGGACCUUUUGAAUUAAUGAGAAACACUGCCUAUCCAGACCAACUCUCUUUGCAUCUUUCCCCCCACCCCUCUUUUGCCAUAGAAAUCCAGUUAAUUGAAGGAGUCUCUCACCACCACACAUGAAGGGGGCUAAAUUAGCAUCCCUUUCUGCCGAUUGGAAUAGCCGGGGCAGACGCGCACGCUUUGAUGUGAGGACAGCGCCUAAGUAGGCGGCAGGCCCCUGAAAAUGAGCUGAUGGCCCCACUAUUAGGCCCAAAUGCAGAUGCAUCCAUGUGUUGCAAAACGCUUAAUCUUUUAAUUGAUCACCUUCCGCACAGCCUAUUCUCUUCAACGCUUUUUAUUUUCUCAGUAAAUCUGCAUCACGUUUUGAAAACGACAUGAUUUGCUUUUCAAAGGGCGGGAGAGUGCUACAUAUCCUGUUUGGAUGAGCCUGUUAAUGUAAACCUUCUAAAUUGAUGGGGAGCUGCCUCAUGGUGCACAUUUAAAUGACUGAAUAAAUUAAAUAAUAGCUGGUAUUGAUGAUUUUGGCCUGUGCGCGUGUGUGUGCGUACGUGUGUGUGGGUAUGGUGUGAAUGCAUGUGUGUGUGAGUACACAUGUGCAUGCUUUUAAAGGCUAAGGCCCAGAAGGCUAACUGCAAGUGUGACUGCAACUGCAAGUGUGGGUAUAGAUGUGGGUACAUAGACCCGCUAGACACUGCGGCCCCUCAUGAUAAGUUCUGAUUUUUUGUGGCCAUCAAAGUUGCCCAUGCCUGCUAUAGAUGAUCACAGUUCACUAAUUGAGCUAUGACCGAUGACAAUUGAAGUUCCAUAACAUUCUGAUCAAACCAAUGUGUUCCCAGUGGUACCCUGAGCAGUGCUCUGGCCAGGUUCUCCAUGAUUAGGUUUUUGGUCUCAGGGAUAACCUCUAUGGAUUGGAAUCCACCCACUCACUCUUGUUACACUACUACUUUGGGUGUGCCAGGUCAUCUAGAGGUUAGAGAGGCGGUCCAGCAGCCGGAGGGUUGCCAGUUCGAAUCCCAAGUCUGAUAGGAAAAUCUUGUGGCAAGUGGCAUGCCAUCUCCUGCCAUUGCACCCUUGAGCAAAGCACUUAACCCAUAAUCUGCCCCAGGGGCAGACCCUGGCAUGCAACUCCUUGGUGUGUGUGUGUAGGUGUUUGUGCUUCUCUGGGGUUUGGGUUAAAAGGCAAAUUGUCUGAAAAUAAAAUGGAUAAGAAAGUAUGUUUCUACUAGAGAUGAUACCUAAAGAAAAAUGUAUCACUCAUUGCCAUAGCAGAAGAAAUUAGCGUAGUUACUCAAAUGGAAACCAUUAUAUUUCUAUGUUUACUCACCUGUAGGCCUAAAGGGUAGCGUUUGCAUGCUACUGGUGAGUGUUAUCUAAGGUGAGUAUCUUCUAAGAAUGUGUACAAACAACAAACCAAUUCAAUGGGCCAAAGGCCCUACUGAUCCUUACCAUAUUCAGAGAAAAUGAAAAAUGGGUGUGUUACGAAGGAGUUACUUUCACCAAGACAUGGACAUUAUUUUCAAUAUUGUGAUUUAAACUCCCAUCAAUUACUGUUGUGUUUUGAUUAAAACAUGCUAUGCGUUA
This 9591-nucleotide long non-coding RNA is filed under the name Salmo salar (Atlantic salmon). RNAcentral's name for it is "lncRNA (ENSSSAG00000099831.1)". Lineage: Eukaryota; Metazoa; Chordata; Actinopteri; Salmoniformes; Salmonidae. The record is from RNAcentral.